Molecule: ribosomal RNA, 497 nt
Filed under: uncultured bacterium
Lineage: Bacteria
Description: partial 16S ribosomal RNA
Rfam family: Bacterial small subunit ribosomal RNA
Source: RNAcentral
GAUGAACGCUGGCGGCGUGCCUAAUACAUGCAAGUCGAGCGAACAGACGAGGAGCUUGCUCCUCUGACGUUAGCGGCGGACGGGUGAGUAACACGUAGGUAACCUACCUAUAAGACUGGGAUAACUUCGGGAAACCGGAGCUAAUACCGGAUAAUAUAUCGAACCGCAUGGUUCGAUAGUGAAAGAUGGCUUUGCUGUCACUUAUAGAUGGAUCUGCGCCGCAUUAGCUAGUUGGUAAGGUAACGGCUUACCAAGGCAACGAUACGUAGCCGACCUGAGAGGGUGAUCGGCCACACUGGAACUGAGACACGGUCCAGACUCCUACGGGAGGCAGCAGUAGGGAAUCUUCCGCAAUGGGCGAAAGCCUGACGGAGCAACGCCGCGUGAGUGAUGAAGGUCUUCGGAUCGUAAAACUCUGUUAUUAGGGAAGAACAAACGUGUAAGUAACUGUGCACGUCUUGACGGUACCUAAUCAGAAAGCCACGGCUAACUACGUG